This 301-nucleotide ribosomal RNA is filed under the name uncultured bacterium. RNAcentral's name for it is "partial 16S ribosomal RNA". It matches the Rfam family "Bacterial small subunit ribosomal RNA", at positions 509 to 807 of the family's 1533-position model. The record is from RNAcentral.
CAGUAGCCGCGGUAAUACGAAGGGGGCUAGCGUUGCUCGGAAUGACUUGGCGUAAAGGGCGCGUAGGCGGCGAUCAAAGUCAGGCGUGAAAUUCCUGGGCUCAACCUGGGGGCUGCGCUUGAUACUUGGUUGCUUGAGUGGGGAAGAGGGUCGUGGAAUUCCCAGUGUAGAGGUGAAAUUCGUAGAUAUUGGGAAGAACACCGGUGGCGAAGGCGGCGACCUGGUCCUUGACUGACGCUGAGGCGCGAAAGCGUGGGGAGCAAACAGGAUUAGAUACCCGCGUAGUCCCUGUCUCUUAUAC